CGGGGGGAGCAAGCGUUGUUCGGAUUUACUGGGCGUAAAGGGCGCGUAGGCGGCCACCGCAAGUCGACUGUGAAAUCUCCGGGCUUAACCCGGAAAGGUCAGCCGAUACUGCGGGGCUAGAGUGCAGAAGGGGCAACUGGAAUUCUCGGUGUAGCAGUGAAAUGCGUAGAUAUCGAGAGGAACACCUGCGGCGAAGGCGGGUUGCUGGCUGACACUGACGCUGAGGCGCGAAAGCUAGGGGAGCGAACGGGAUUAGAUACCCCGGUAGUCCUAGCCUUAAACGAUGAAUGCUUGGUGUCUGGGGUUUUAUAGUCCCCGGGUGCCGUCGCUAACGCUUUAAGCAUUCCGCCUGGGGAGUACGGUCGCAAGACUG
Molecule: ribosomal RNA, 373 nt
Filed under: uncultured organism
Description: bacterial SSU rRNA
Rfam family: Bacterial small subunit ribosomal RNA
Source: RNAcentral